UACAAUUCAACUAAGAUUCCACGACAAUUUGAAACAUAAAUCAGAGUGUAGUUGAAGCCCUAUGCAUCUCGUGCCUAUAAAAUUUAAUGCACAUGUAAGCUCUUACAUCCGAACCUUAUCAAAUACUACCAACACUACUUAUAUAAAACCACCUUCCAUUUUUCUAAAUCGUCUCACACUUAGCUUUCAGUUCUUACCAAAAAAAUGGCUUCAAAUCCAGCAUUAGCAGAGCUAAACUUUGUUUUGAUACCUUUACUCUCUGCAAGUCGCAUAAUACCCAUGGUUGACAUUGCCAAACUUUUAGCACAGAGAGGUGUGACAGUUACUUUAGUCUUGACACCUCUUAAUGCUGCCCCAUUUACUGCAGUAAUUGAUCGCGCCAUGGGUUCUGGACUCCUCAUUCGGGUACUUGAGCUCCAGUUUCCAGCCAAGGAAGCAGGACUUCCAGAGGGAUGUGAAAGCCUGAAUCUUCUGCCCUCUAUGGCUUUUGUAAGAAAUUUCUAUAAUGCAACUGAUAUGCUACAAAAUGAAGCUGAAAAUUUACUUGAAGAGAUGAAGCCUAAGCCAAGUUGCAUUAUUUCCGAUACGCUUAUUGCUUGGACAGCUGACACAGCCGAUAAGUUUCAGAUUCCAAGAAUUCUUUUUGAUGGAAUGAGUUGCUUCAGUCAAGUGUGUUUGCAUAAUUUGUACAUCAUGAAGGAUCAAAACAAAAUCCCUGACUCGGGUUCUUUUGUUAUUCCUGAUUUGCCAGAUAAAAUUGAGGUCACUAAAGCUCAGCUGCCUGCAGCAUUCCAUCCAGGAACCAUUUCCAUACAAGAUAUUCGUGAUAAAAUACGAGCAGCUGAAACAAGAUCCUAUGGGGUUGUCAUCAAUACUUUCGAGGAGUUAGAAACCGAAAACAUAAAGAUGGUAGAGUUUGGUGCAUUGGACCUUUGUCUCUUUGUAACAAUGAUAAUCAAGACAAAGCUCAGAGAGGGAAUAAAGCCUCAUUUGACAAAGAAGAAUCUUUGACGAAAUGGCUUGAUUCUUGGCAACCUGAGUCUAUUGUGUAUGCAUGUCUUGGAAGCCUCGGUCGUAUUCCAGUUGUACAAUUUGUGGAGCUGGCUUUAGGCUUGGAAGCAUCAGGUUAUCCAUUCAUUUUAGUGAUAAAAGCAGGGGAAGGACAAGAACCAAUAGAGGACUUGAUAUCGAAAAAUGGAUUUGAGGAAAGAACAAAAGAAAGAGGGCUUUUGAUCCGUGGCUGGGCGCCACAAGUACUAAUCCUAUCACACCCUGCAAUUGGAGGGUUCUUGACUCAUUGUGGUUGGAAUUCGACCCUUGAGGGUAUCAGUGCUGGCGUACCGAUGAUCACAUGGCCUUUAUUAUCAGAGCAAUUUUUGAAUGAGAGAUUCAUAGUACAUGUCUUGAAGACGGGUGUGAGCGUUGGAUGUCAGGAAGUGGUUCAUUUUGGUGAGGAAGGGAAGUUUGAGGCCCAAGUGAGUAAGGAAGAAGUAACCAAAGCCAUUAAAACAGUGAUGGAUAAGGAGAAAGAAGGAAAAGAGAGCAGAAAAAGAGCCAGAGAACUUGGAGAAAUGGCAAAAAGGGCUGUAGAAAGUGCUGGAUCUUCUUAUCUCAGUUUGGAACUUUUAAUCAAAGAAAUACAGGAAUUCCAACUUAACAAAUCAGCUUAAAAUGAGAAUGCACAAGUAUGCAAUGUACUUCUUUGAUUAGAAAAUUUUAUAUGCUAUGCAUUUCUUUGAUUAGAAAAUUUCGUAUGCAAUGUACUUCUUGAAUUGAAAAUGUUAUUAGCAAUGUACUUCUUUGACUUGAAUAGCAUUGAGAGGUGUCACGACUAAAGUGAAUUUCCUGCCUCGCCGCUUUAACAA
RNA transcript from Nicotiana attenuata, 1865 nucleotides. It is a transcript of the gene named UDP-glycosyltransferase 73C2-like, with no coding region annotated. The transcript has a single exon. NCBI's taxonomy places the organism in Eukaryota, Viridiplantae, Streptophyta, Magnoliopsida, Solanales, Solanaceae. The record is from RefSeq and is a predicted model, not a curated record.